CAAGCUGCUGUAUGCGUGCAAUAGAGUUCAACAACGAUAAGUUUUAAUAUCCUAGUGAAGAGAUAAUUGAUCCGAAUAUCUUUCUCCAUCUUCUGAAAAAAGUCAUUGACUCGACGCACCCUGCUUAACCUAAUCCAUAAAAGGUAUCUCAAUCCCUCUUUUUUGCCAGCAGCCUGAUUAUUUCAACAUUGACUCGACGCACCCUGCUUAACCUAAUCCAUAAAAGGUAUCUCAAUCCCUCUUUUUUGCCAGCAGCCUGAUUAUUUCAAAUGGAACAGCUUUAGUUUAAAAAAGCAUAACUUGAACCAAGUACUCCAUCGAACAUGAAAUGCAGGUAUCAGUUCAUUUAAAAUUUUGGUCUUGGCCAUGAGUAUAACUAAUAGGAAAUAAAGAAGAAAAAAAGGGCUUCCACUCCAUUGUCUUGCUGACAAGAAAGCUUUCGUUUCUCUUUACUAGGUUGCAUGGAACUUAAUGGAGGAGAGGAGCAUAUUAAGACAAGUGAGCUUGUCAAUUUAUUUAAGUAGAGUUAUGCCUCUGAGCCUCUUAAGAAUGGAUGCUUACAUUUACAAGCUAUGGAGAGAUG
RNAcentral lists this long non-coding RNA (583 nucleotides) under Nicotiana benthamiana. RNAcentral's name for it is "long non-coding RNA (NBEN_LNC004955)". Lineage: Eukaryota; Viridiplantae; Streptophyta; Magnoliopsida; Solanales; Solanaceae. The record is from RNAcentral.